GGGGGUGAUCGGUUUCGACGGUGAUCGUCGAGCCAGGAGAAGCGGGUCGAGGACGCACGGUUAUCUCGUCAACGCUCCGUGCAAAUCAUAGGUGCCGAUAACAAGCGCACCGACUUCGCCCUCGCCGCCUGAGCGAGCCUCGAAGUCCGUCGGCCUAAGUACGCUUCCGACUUAGUUCCCGGCGUCAUCUAGGGAGCCACUGCUGGUCCUCAUCGUCAGUGUGAGGAUCGGGACUUCUAGCUGACUGGGCCUGUCCACCUUCUCGUCCGUGGGAGUGGUGGAGGCCGAGAAAAUCCAUCACGGACUGCACCCGGAGAAUCCCUGGUUCCACGUCAUCGGACGCGGGUUCGAUUCCCGCCACCUCCACGU
This is a non-coding RNA of Cellulomonas fimi ATCC 484, 369 nucleotides long. It matches the Rfam family "transfer-messenger RNA". Rfam says of the family: Bacterial tmRNA, also known as 10Sa RNA or SsrA, is named for its dual tRNA and mRNA-like properties. Its role is to liberate the mRNA from a stalled ribosome. NCBI's taxonomy places the organism in Bacteria, Bacillati, Actinomycetota, Actinomycetes, Micrococcales, Cellulomonadaceae. The record is from Rfam.